AGAGUUUGAUCAUGGCUCAGGACGAACGUUGGCGGCGUGCCUAAUGCAUGCAAGUCGAACGAGGGACUCGGUCCGCGUAAGCGGACUGAGUCACCUAGUGGCGAACGGGUGAGUAACACGUGAGGAACCUGCCCCGGAGACCGGAAUAGCCCAGGGAAACUUGGAUUAAUGCCGGAUGUCCUCGGAUGAUCGCAUGGUCGACCGAGGAAACAGUCCGCUGCUCCGGGAUGGCCUCGUGGCCUAUCAGCUUGUUGGUGAGGUAACGGCUCACCAAGGCGACGACGGGUAGCUGGUCUGAGAGGACGAUCAGCCACACUGGGACUGAGACACGGCCCAGACUCCUGCGGGAGGCAGCAGCAGGGAAUUUUGCACAAUGGACGAAAGUCUGAUGCAGCGACGCCGCGUGGGGGAUGAAUGCCUUCGGGUUGUAAACCCCUUUCAGGAGGGACGAAGCGAAAGUGACGGUACCUCAGAAGAGCCC
This 481-nucleotide ribosomal RNA is filed under the name uncultured Rubrobacterales bacterium. RNAcentral describes it as "bacterial SSU rRNA". It matches the Rfam family "Bacterial small subunit ribosomal RNA", at positions 8 to 492 of the family's 1533-position model. Lineage: Bacteria; Bacillati; Actinomycetota; Rubrobacteria; Rubrobacterales. The record is from RNAcentral.